Molecule: ribosomal RNA, 465 nt
Filed under: Vreelandella stevensii
Lineage: Bacteria; Pseudomonadati; Pseudomonadota; Gammaproteobacteria; Oceanospirillales; Halomonadaceae
Description: partial 16S ribosomal RNA
Rfam family: Bacterial small subunit ribosomal RNA
Source: RNAcentral
CCUACGGGCGGCAGCAGUGGGGAAUAUUGGACAAUGGGGGGAACCCUGAUCCAGCCAUGCCGCGUGUGUGAAGAAGGCCCUCGGGUUGUAAAGCACUUUCAGUGAGGAAGAACGCCUGGUGGUUAAUACCCAUCAGGAAAGACAUCACUCACAGAAGAAGCACCGGCUAACUCCGUGCCAGCAGCCGCGGUAAUACGGAGGGUGCGAGCGUUAAUCGGAAUUACUGGGCGUAAAGCGCGCGUAGGUGGCUCGAUAAGCCGGUUGUGAAAGCCCCGGGCUCAACCUGGGAACGGCAUCCGGAACUGUCAAGCUAGAGUGCAGGAGAGGAAGGUAGAAUUCCCGGUGUAGCGGUGAAAUGCGUAGAGAUCGGGAGGAAUACCAGUGGCGAAGGCGGCCUUCUGGACUGACACUGACACUGAGGUGCGAAAGCGUGGGUAGCAAACAGGAUUAGAUUCCCCAGUAGUC